UAGAUACCCUAUUAUACCUGUCGUUUUUUUUUGCUCGGGUAUUAUUAGUUAAGUUCUUUAAACCCAAAGGAUUUGGCGGUAUUUUAGUCUUUUCAGAGGAACCUGCCUCUUAAUUGAUAUUACACGAUUUAGUUUACUUAUCUUUGUGUUCAGUUUUUAUAUCUCCGUCAAAAGAAUAUCUUUUUAGGGUUAAUUUUCUUAAUUAUUUGAUUUAAUUAUGUCAGGUCAAGGUGAAGCUUAUGGAUAAGUGUUGGUGGGUUACAAUAAAUUUAUUUAUAUGAAUAAAAAUAUUUAUAUAUUUUUUGAAGGUGGAUUUGAUUGUAAAUUAAUUUAUUAGGUUUAUUGAUUUUGAGCUCUAAAAUGUGC
RNAcentral lists this ribosomal RNA (366 nucleotides) under Idiocnemis louisiadensis. RNAcentral describes it as "partial 12S ribosomal RNA". Lineage: Eukaryota; Metazoa; Arthropoda; Insecta; Odonata; Platycnemididae. The record is from RNAcentral.